This 781-nucleotide ribosomal RNA is filed under the name uncultured archaeon. RNAcentral's name for it is "bacterial SSU rRNA". It matches the Rfam family "Archaeal small subunit ribosomal RNA", at positions 84 to 872 of the family's 1478-position model. The record is from RNAcentral.
UACGGCUCAGUAACACGUAGCUAACCUAACCUUAGGUCAAGAAUAACCUCGGGAAACUGAGGAUAAUGCUUGAUAGAAAAUAAUUUCUGGAAUGAUUUAUUUUUGAAACUCGAGCCUAAGGAUGGGGCUGCGACUGAUUAGCUAGUUGUUGGUGUAAAAGACUAACAAGGCGAUGAUCAGUAAGGGCUCUUAGCGGAGAGGCCCUGAGAAGGAAUCUGAGACACUAUUCCUAGCUCUACGGGGUGCAGCAGUCGAGGAAAUUUUACAAUGCUCGCAAGAGUGAUAGAAUAAACCAGAGUGUUUCUCCUAGAGAAACUUUUGUCAGCUGUAAAAAGGCUGACGAAUAAGGACUGGGCAAGACCGGUGCCAGCCGCCGCGGUAAUACCGGCGGUCCAAGUCGUAUCCACAUUUAUUGGGUCUAAAACAUUCGUAGCUUGUUUUGUAAGUCUCUUGUGAAAUUCCACGUCUCAAGCGUGGAGCGUGCAAGAGAUACUACAUUACUAGAGACCGGAAGAUGCAAAGAGUACGAUUAAGGUAGCGGUAAAAUGUGUUAAUCUUAAUCGGACUAACAAUGGCGAAGGCACUUUGCAAGUACGGAUCUGACAGUGAGGAAUGAAGGCUAGGGGCGCAAAACGGAUUAGAUACCCGUGUAGUCCUAGCAGUAAACACUGCUCACUAAACAUUAGUGCCUCCUCGAGAGGCAUUAGUGCUGUAGAGAAGUCGAAGAGUGAGCUACCUGGGAAGUAUAGUCGCAAGGCCGAAACUUAAAGGAAUUGGCGGA